UCGGGGACAUCCGAUAAAAUUGGAACGAUACAGAGAAGAUUAGCAUGGCCCCUGCGCAAGGAUGACACGCACAAAUCGAGAAAUGGUCCAAAUUUUUUUUUUUCCUGAAAUAUUCAUUUGCUUUUACCAAAACACCCUAAACUAGCCCCCUGCAUGCUUCUCCGUUGGCAACACCAGGCCCCUGCGCCAAACCUCUCUCUGCAACUUCAAUGUUCAUGCUUGUGUUCUUUGUGCUAACGGAGAACCUGUUCACUCCUCAGGAUCUUAGGCUUUCCAUGACAGUCCUUUGUUUGAGAAAAUUUUCCGUGUAUUUGAAGAUUCCUUACGUUGACUUCCAGUGUUAAAGCUUAAAGCGAACGCAAGUACACAAGUUGUUUGAUGAAAUGCGUCUUAGAUCUUGAAAAUGUGUCCUUUCUGCCGAGGCUGUGAAGUUAAAAUGGAAUUUGAUAGCAUAACGAUGCCUACUCCAAUCGCAAUUGCUAUAUACUCUUUCAAUACUCUUUCAAAUUGGAUUCUCUCUCUCUGCCUCACCUAUCAUCUUGUUUUUGCAAAGGAAACAGUGACAGUGAUUUGAUCUCACGUGAGUGUUUCAAACUCAAAAGUAGACAACUGUUUUUGUCUUCCUUUGUGAAAGCAUGACAUUCAUGUGUAAGCUUUCUUAGAUUCGGUCCAAAUCAGAAAUCUUGAAGAAAGCAUAUAUUAAGAAAAGAAAAAUGUUGUCCUUAUCUCUAAUUUUGCAUCAUUUGCUUGGAUGUUUCUGCGGCAUCCUUUUCUUUCAGCUAUCAGAGGACCCAAAUUCCAAUCCUUUCUCCCCAACCGAUAGGUUAACGUAACCUACUACCAGAGGUUAUUAACAUUUUCUUCGUCAGGCGACAGUUGACUUGGUCCUACGGGAUAAUUUGACUCAGCUAUAAGUUCUACGUUCAAACCUCAGGCAAUUGAAAACUCAGCUGGUUUGAAUACUGAGAUUGAUCAAAUGGGUUGUUGCAGCAUUUGAUGUACUAUGCGUGAAUCAUGUGAUGGUUAAUUUGGUCGAGUCCUAUUUAAUUGGCUCGUUGGAGAUUUGCAUCCUUUAUCUCUACUGUUGAAAUGGAUGAUUAUAAAAAAGAGUUGAAGGUAGCGGUUAGAUGUCUCAACUGGGCCCACCCGGAGGACAAAAAAUUAUCGUUGUGUUAUUGUCAAUGUGAUCAAAGGUGCUAAAAUACGGGCAGUUUGCUAUUGGCGGAAAAUGAAACCGUCAAAGGUUAGGCUGUAUGUCAUCAACGAAGUUCAUAACAAAGAUGUAGUAGUAUGAGAUUAUAUUUGAAUCUCGAGGCUUGGUUUUUCUUGUUUUGUAUAAGAGAAAUAAGAAUUGAUACUGAGCCAACGUGUUAAGCUCCUUACUUGGGUCAUUAUAAUCUUGCAAUUUUCAGCUGGCCUUGUCCUCUUCUCCCUCUCCUUUGCCUUUAUUAUUGAGUUUGUCCGUGGCUGUGCAUGUGCUUGAGUGCGUUGCUGGUGCUGCUCGGUAAUGGAGGUGUGGUGUGGACUGUGGAGAUUCUCUUUUCUUCUUAUCUGCUAGUUUCAGCUUGUCUGCUAAACAAAGGACUGCUCCGGAUGAAGUGGCUGCUCUCAGCAAGAUGAUAGACUACUGGAACUUAAGAAGCAAAGUGAGUGAGUUUUAGCAUUGAACCUUGUACACCGAAUGCAUCAUGGGGUUCCCAUAUUCCGAAUCCCUCGUGUGGAUUGUGACUGUGCUGGCAACUCCUGCCACAUCAAUCGCCUGUAGUUCUCCAUCAUCAUUUUCACCUUUCAUAUAUAUUCUUGUUUGGUUAAGAAAGUUUCCAAUUUCACUUGAUGCCAGAAGAUAUAUAUGCUUUUGGGAUUUCUGGUAUAAUACUGAAAGAACUGUUUCUGCUGAAGCCUGAAAGUGCUGAUGGACUUGUGAAGGAUAGAUUCUUAAGCUUUAAGUAGUCCUUGUUGCUUUGAUGUGAUUGAGAUUUAAAAUAUUGCCCAAUGAUGCAGGAAUCUGGGUCAGAAUGUAUUGAGUGAACCCACGGCUGAAAUUGCAUAAACAACCUGACAGGUUUCAUGAAAUGCUGCAAUUUGGCCCGAGGGUGAGAGAGUUCCCCGAGACUUCAACAUUCAGAAGGAAACUGGCGGAUCCAAAAGAGCCUUGAUCAGAGCACUCCAGACGAAUGCAACAAAUACGAUCGUGGAUAUCCACUUGUUCUGUGCCGGGAAAGACACUUGUUGCAUCCCAUUUCAGCAGUCCAUGCUUGUCAAGGACGUUCUUUACAUCUUUUCCUGCAAAUUCAGACAAUUUUCAUUUUUCCUUGAUCAAUACGCAUGUUACUUAUUUGUUCCUGAACUUCUUUUCAUAGUUGAUGCUGGCUCUUCCUCCAAACGGGACACGAAGCAUGUAUGAAGAAUAGUUGGAAUAGGAUUAGGAUGCGAAGCUGGUUUUGUGAUAAUCU
This is a long non-coding RNA of Juglans regia (Persian walnut), 2453 nucleotides long. RefSeq lists it as uncharacterized. The transcript has 3 exons. NCBI's taxonomy places the organism in Eukaryota, Viridiplantae, Streptophyta, Magnoliopsida, Fagales, Juglandaceae. The record is from RefSeq and is a predicted model, not a curated record.